GAAACUACUCAGUAAAAUAAACAACGCAAUUUAUUAAAACUAAAAUAAUUACAACACUUUGGUUACUUAUUAAAAUGACAUUUGGCAUAGAAUUUGAUGAUGUAAAUAAUGACAUCAUAAUUAUGACGUGAGAUUUUUUUUUGUAACUAUAAUGAAAACCCCGUCGUGCCCCAUUGUAGAAGCACGAUGGGGUACGUAUUUCUUUUGCGACACAGUACAAGCAGAUGUGGAUUUCUUCUAUAUUGACGUCACCGACACAAGCACAAGCUGUAUGAGCCCACCGUACAUAUAGUUGGCAAGCCACUCAACGAAAACUUUAAAUAAGUGUGGUUCAAGGCAGUACAGGCACAUGUUAUCCUCGUCGGUAUUCUUUACUCUAGAGGGAGCUUGUUGGGUCUUCUUUUUCUUAGGGUUCUUCUGUAACUUGGGGUCAUUUGGAUUAGAACACAGUCUUGUCUUAAAAGUUUUUCGUUAUUCUAUAUCUUGUGCUCGUAGCCAUGUCCCCGUCAUGCCCUCAUUCUCCCUGUAUUUAAAAUAACAAACGAAAUAAAAUAAAUGACGAUUAGAGUAUUUUCGUUCAGACAUAUCAAUUUAUCUUCAAAAUUAAAAUAAAUUCAAUAAUAGUAGCCACAUAAACACUUACCUUUCUAAAUGCGUAUUCGCUUCUACUGAAAAUUGCAUAAAAUUAGGUUAAAAAUCGUGAUUUGUUUUAAAUAUCAAACGCUCGCAGUUUAGUCGCCGGACCGCCGCGCGCCGCGCCCGUCUAGUUUCAGACCCAACCGACUCCUUUAUCAAGAAUUGACCCCUGAAUAGAAAAACGCAUCAAAAGGAACCCACCUUUACCACAUGGAUAUAUUCAGCGUUUAACAAAGACUAUGCCUUGGUAGAAAUAGAACUUAGAUAAAACCCUUGAAACUUUUGGUAAAAUAGCUUUCUACAUAUACAUAGACAUCUUUUUUGUCUCUGGAAUGUCGCAAACUCGACAAUGUCUGACCUCCACAAUAAGUACAUCAUUAAACGAGGAGUUUCCAAAGUUAAAAAUAACCUUAAAAGAUCAAUAUUCAAUUUAAUCAGCAUUCAACCCUUACGUAAAAGAUACCGUCAAUUAUAUCCUUUUUAAUUUUGAACGAUAAAUAAAAGAGUUGUGAGAUCAGCAAGAUAUUGUGCUCUCGACAUUAACACGGGUAUUGGCGGCAAAAUAAGAAAGCCGCCAUCUUGCGGUUCGUUACAAAGGAACUAAUGAAAAGCGAAUCCAUAAUGGGAUGAUGACGGUAGACGGAUCAUGGUUCGAAGAAACAUUAUUUCAUAAAUAAAGGAUUUCGUGCCUGAGAUGUAGGCUGAAGAAUCUAGACUUAAAGAAAAAGAUAUACAAAAUAAAAGCGAACAUAUAAUUAUUAAUUACCUAGUUUGUUUUGUCAGUCUAGUCUAUUUUUAACAUUCGUUACAUCGUUAUAAUCUUAUCGCUAAAAUAUCAUAACAAUAUAUGUAUUUUGUUUUGAUAAGUCACGUGACAUUGAUCUGUCACCUUUAUAGUAUAGUAGCACAUAGUAGUGUGAUAGUAGUUUGUGACGAUUCACCUUAUAAAUUGUAAUGUAUUUAGUAAAAUUGAAGAGUAAGUAUAAACAUGGUAUUAAACCGCGCAAUAUCUCCUAUUUCCCGUAUGGAGAUGGCAGAAUAAAGUGACAUAAAGUUCAUAGACCUUACACAUUUGAGUGUUUUCUUUAUGAUAACGAUUGUAAAUUUCAGUUGGCUAGAGACUGAAUAGGUUAGGUAUAAUAGUAGUAGGUACCUACGUCCUUCAUCUCUGGUCAUCAUAUAGGUUUCAGAUUAAGCCUAUUGAUAAUAUUCGCUCAAACAUUAACGCAAGCUCUCACACGUCUCCCCGCGAUCCGAUGUCUGCAGAUUCACGAUGAUAAAGCUUUCUUACGGACGAUUUAAUUAAUAAAACAUCCUCAUCCUAUUUUUACGACAGCACAUAGUGUUGGCGAUAUAAAAAAUCGGAGGAAUUCUUUAAAAUAAAUACUUUAUUUAUGUGUGUUGCGAUAGUUUAUGCCAAGUCAAAGGUCUCGAGUUCGAUCCCAAUUUUCUAAUCUUGUGUGCGGUUUAGAAAUGUUGCUAGGGCGGCAUAAAUUGGCACAGACUCUCCUUUAACACAGAACUCUAUCCUUAAAAUAAAAAAGGGCACAUCGCCUCUACUUUAUAUCCACCUAUAUGAAACAUACACGCGAUUUUUACACACCGGGAUUUAAAAAAAAAUAAGCACUUUAUAACAAUAUCACUUAAAGUCUGAAUAUCGUCUUUCUACUUUGUUUUUUACCACUCAACCCGACACUACGAUAAUCCAACAAGUGCUAGGCGUCAGUCAAAUCUCUGAGAACGAGUUACUUGUGUCAAAUACCUAUAAUACUCAGAUUACUUUAGAUAUGUCAGACCGUUAAGAAAUGCCAGCUUGUUUAUUAAAACACAUUACUGGUACAAAUACUCGGGUUUACGCUUCAGCCCACUCAGUCUUAAAAACACCGUUACCUAACUCUAAGGAUUUCUAUUUAGCUGUUUCUUGGUUUAAUUCUUUAUAAGAUUUAAAUUAGUAGACACUAGUAAAUGGCCUUUAUUUAUUGCAGAUGCCAAAGUACAAAAAGUAAAACACGCAAUAAAUUAAGACUUUAAAUAGCCCUUUAUAUAAGCAUAUAGCCUAUUUUUAACAACAAAAAUAUGUUCAUGUACAACACAACACAUAAACUACAUAUAUCCCUUAUUAAAUUAAAGUAUAUACAAAAUCGAGAUGUAAAUACCUCCUAACUUUUAUACUUCAACCGCACCUAGAUAUUUACUGCUAGUUGUAUCAGUAUUUCAGCUUUAUCACUCUAUAGUCACAUAUUGAAUCUACAUAAUAUAAUAGGUCAUACACACCUACAUACAUUGAUGAUACCGUGGCCGUGGGAGCCAUCAACUGGCAGAAAAAUAUUUGUGACGCGAUGACGUUAUAACAUGUACAGCAUUGUACAGCGCGAUGUAAAAACACAUUACCUUUAUACCUUAUAAUAAUCUCAACAUAAGAGAAAUCUUUUCGUAGUUCUAAAUAAACAAGCCUUUAGAUUCCUUUUUUGCUUUGGAAUCAUAGUACUCGAAAAGAAAACCUAAUUUCUAUCUGCCUAGAUGUGAAAAUGAAAACUAAUAUCAGUGCCAGUAUAAACAGGUAUUGACAUAAAUAUUACUAAGUGGCUAACAAUUUAUAACUUGCUUUAUUCAUUUCAAACUAAUUACUACUUAAUACGAUGAGUUGAUUAUCACUCUUCAACUCACAUACUAUUUGAUAUCAUUAUCAAACACCAUGUAUAUAUACUAUACCACAGUCGACGCAUUGUAUAUUGUAGUCUGAUUAAAUUAUGUGUUAUGCAAAUUCGAUUUUGGCAAUUCUAAGCCAAUGGUUAUCCCUUCAACGAGGUGAAGUAUUGCAACGCAAUGCCAUACACCGACACAAAACUGCGGAUGACGUAGCACAGAGGUUCAGGUUUAGUCAGUAAGAGUCUGACACUACCCAUUCCCAGCCUUAACAAAAAGGAGCAUGGCUUAGUGUAGAUACUACUUUAUCAUUUAUUAAAUACUAGCGGUCACCCACAUGGAGACUCACUGUAAAGCAUAAUCUUGUUUUCUUUAAGUUGAGCUAAACGAACUCUAUAAAGAAGAACAGUGUUAAAAGUUUGAUAUUCGGUUCAGUAUUUUUGCGUGCAUACUUACAUUUACAUUUCACAUAUUAGUAGGGAUGUUAUAGCUCAAUAUCCGUUUAUAAUAAUUUAGAUAUGUAACUUAUAAUUAUACGCAUGAAGUUUAUAUCCAAUUACCUAAGUAUAAAUAUCAUAACAUGUAGGUUGUCCUAUCCAUUAAAAAACCUGAACUAUAAAACACCAUUAACUAAAACGGAAAGCAUAACGAACUGGACAAUCCAUAAAUAUUCCUUCAUAUUGAAACACAAUUAUAAUUGGACAGGCGACGGAAUCUUGUCUUUUCAGCUAAGUCAUACAAGUGUCGGACGCACAUCGGACAAGAAAAUCACCGCAACGAUACACAAGAUACAUUACCCCUUCAUUUAUCUAGACUGGCCGUUAAUUGGAACGUAUUACGCAGUAUUUGUUAGUACAACACUCAUUUGCGGGCUGUUGAGGCCUAUCUAUCAUACUCAGCCUUAGCGAGUCCGAAGACAUGCUUUAUGACUUACGUUUAAGGCUGUGGGAAGUCUUCUUUUAAGAGCUAGGGCAUCAUUCGAUAGCAACGCUUUAAUAUGUUUCUGGAAAAAGCUGCAAUGUUCAUGCUGUAGAUCAUGUUGUUGAUCAGUGCGAAAAUACCUUUAAUGAGUGACUUGUCGGUCGUCU
Trichoplusia ni (cabbage looper) is the source of this 4370-nucleotide long non-coding RNA. RefSeq lists it as uncharacterized. The transcript has 3 exons. NCBI's taxonomy places the organism in Eukaryota, Metazoa, Arthropoda, Insecta, Lepidoptera, Noctuidae. The record is from RefSeq and is a predicted model, not a curated record.